GGGGACGACAGGUAUCGACAGGGGUGUAAGUACCCGGGUAGCAGGCCGAGGAUGGUCGCCAACCUCGUAAAUCACGUGACCGAAAAAUAGUUGGCAACAACCGUCAACUCGCUCUCGCAGCCUAAAGCGCUGUGAGCAUCCCUCUCUUUCUCGCUCCUGGUCGGAAGGAGAUACGGGGUGUCACAUAGACCGGGAUGCCGCUAGUCCACGCCGGUAACGGCUAGCGAAAGCCUCAUCGGCUUGGCCAUCGCGCACGUGGACCACCAUCGAACGCGACGGCGACACUCAAUCGGUGGGAAAGCCUGUAGGACAAUUCGGGGCUGAAACUUUCUGGACCGGGAGUUCGAUUCUCCCGCGUCUCCACCA
Molecule: transfer-messenger RNA, 366 nt
Filed under: Dehalococcoidia bacterium
Lineage: Bacteria; Bacillati; Chloroflexota; Dehalococcoidia
Also listed under: 1 other name
Rfam family: transfer-messenger RNA
About the family: Bacterial tmRNA, also known as 10Sa RNA or SsrA, is named for its dual tRNA and mRNA-like properties.
Source: RNAcentral